AUCUAAUAGUCGAGGAACUCGACAAUCAUUCUGUUUCGUUUUAAAAGUUAUUCAAUUUUUAGCCGGGUAGCAUAUUUUACAAUUUGAAGUGUUAAUCUUUACCUAAAUUAAAGCAUGCGCUUUGAGCACCGUCAAGUCCUAGAACUCAAUUUGAACUACAACAAGACCAGCUAAAAACUUUUAAUUUCUUUUUCGAACUAAAAGUCGAGCAGGUUUAUACUAAGAUACCAGCCAUCUAGCUUUCAAGCGGUUUGAGGCAGCCAUAAAGGCAGCCGGAUGAUAAGGCAACUGCCAUUUUCCAACCCCGGUCUUCACGCCAUGUACACGCACUCCCGAAUGGUAAUUCCGAAUAUCGUCUUAGUACUAUCUUUGCCAUCUUUUUGGGAAACUGGCUUUUCAUAAAGCAUGGAAAGGUCGCGUGCUGAUUGACGUUUGGAUGUCAGUGGAAAAAACCUGCUUCACGAAAAGCGAAUAGGCGACUAACACUACCGGAAUUUCAAAAUCUUUUAGAUUACAUUUUAAUUUCAUCUUUACGUUGCCCAUCUUCCACCUCCAUCAACGGUUAGUGGCCACCAUUUAGUUUUCCCGGAGUUUUUGCUGUUCCAGAUACGCGCCAGGAAACUUUUGCUUGCAGAAAAAUAAUUUGGGUCUGAAAGUCGGCGCCUCGCUCUGGUUACCAUCGACACAAAUUUAGCGAGUGAGCUUUGACAGCCCCCAAAAGUUGGGCAUUGCUUGACAAUGUUUGCCGGAGCAGAGCCCGGAAUUUUUAAUGCAAGAGCAAACUUCUGCGCUUGUGAUAAUGUUGCAAUUUGCAAAUAGUAUAUAAAUCUGGCUAAUAGUUGCUGGGCCAGAUUUAAUGACAUAGAAAUUAACUGUUAACUAUUUCCCAAUCGCUCGUUAGUUUACUCAUCAUUAUGCUAACAACGUCCUUGUGCCUGAAGAACCAUCCGACUAAUGCACUUGAACACGUCUUUUGGAUCCCCUUUGCCUGGAGUGUCAGCUGUCAGCUAAAAACGAACUGCGCGUUAUUUGCAUAAUCAUUAAAUGGUGAACGCCGCAACAAGCUUUAUUACGAUUGGAACACAAUAAGAAGUGGCCUAUAAUCAUAAAGAAAGCAAGUUAUUCACUGCCUCGGGUUCCGGGCCAGGAUGUGUAUCGUUGGCCAGGGCUAGCAACAAAAGAGUGCACCAAGUUGGGACAGGCCGAGAUGUCGGAAAUUAAGUGCGUGCUCUGUCCCGCGCUGAGGAAAAGUUAAGACGGAAGAUUUGAAGCCGCGGUCUUCCAAGAAUGCUCCUUGCUCGCAGUCAAUCGAUGUUGGAUGUCGUAACCGAAUAAUGCUUUAAACUGCCCAGUGGCAGGUUUUUUCGUUAUCCCAGGCCGCGCGGGUAGCGGUAAUGUGAAAGCACGCCCCUUACUUAAAUGGAUUCGAGCCAAUACCAAAUAUUUCGGGAUGUGGGCCAACUUUGCAAGUUUGAAGUCAAUUUAGCGGAAUGUUGCCGGGACGAAAUAUGUGGGCUCCAGUGCUUACACGUUUUUUACAAUUAACAAAGCCAGAAGACCACAAAUGUCGAUCCGAAACGAAAUACCCUCACAAAUUCCUAUUUUAAAUAUAUGUUGUGCAUUCUGGAAUUUAAAGCCGCGGGAAGCAAAAUACAUUACUGUGAAUUUGUAGAGGGUUCUUAUUAACUUUCGACUUCCUGUGUCCAAGAAUAAGCAUUUACAAGCAUUUGCAUUGCCGCCAGCACUUAAGUUAAAGGAUGUCACCACUGGCGAGUAUAACCCCCAGCCAUUGGAAAACCGGAAAGCUGCCUGCGUGCUGGUCCAACAUAAAAGGGAAAAUAGCAGCCGCAACAGGAAAAGCAAUAGUAUUUACGCGUGCCUUUGAUAAUGAGGACUUAUGAAUGCGUGAACACAUAAAAGAUAAGAUACAAGAAGGUGGGGAGCCUACUAAUUGUUAGUUAUUAGUUCGCCAUUGAUGCUGCAAGAGGUGUGCUCCAUGGUACACUCAAUAAACACUUUUACGCGGAUCUAUCGAGUUCUUUGGCAUGUUUACAUAUAUGCAUAUACAUAUCUCAGCUAAAGACAAACCAAUGGCCAUGAGUACGUGAAUUUUUAAAGAUGUAUAUAACCCAAAUGACGGGGAAUGCCGUUUCCACAUUUUUGUAACUAUUCCGCAGUAAACUUUAUUAUUGGUAUACGAGUCUGUCCUACUUAACGUGCAACUAACUUAAUGGCUCGUUGUCUUUCGGUGGUCGUAAACUUUCAACUCAACCGACGCUGACCAGUGGCAUCCUGCUCAACCCCAAAACGACAGACGUGGGGUAGAGUGAAAUUAGCUAAUUGUGCGAUGGACAUCGCCAUUGCUGUUCUAAAUCGAAGCCUAGUUGCCUGCGAAUCAACGUCGCCCUUGCGGCUAUACCCAGUGGUAGUCUCGCAUUUACCUUUGACGGCAGCCGGCUGUGGUGAACUCAGUUGCGUUGGCAUAAAUCCAAUGCCCUUUGACUCCAAUGUGCAGGACCGGAAAAUGCUCCCUUUUCAAAUGCUUAGUCCCGCAUUUUUGGACGUCGGACCACGGACGGAAUUUUCUAAAUGAAGGGGCCAGUUGUGAUUUAGAGGGGGGGCGAUACGUCGAUCGACUGCUCGGCCAACCGAUGGGUACAACAUGUUGAGGUCCCACUUAUUGGAUGUCAAUAACUAUGGACUCGACGGGAUGUCCUCAGAUAAUACAUGCCGUGUUUGGCCAAUUUACAUCCACCAACUACGGUGGUUGUGGCCUGUGACGUCCUGAUAGGUAUGCAAUAAUGAAAUUUUGCGUGUGCUAGGGCCCAGAUUGUAUUUAUUGCCUUUUCUGGACUUCUGCCGAUUGCCCUUUCCCAAAACAACUUUGGUAGUGUGAAAGAGUGGGUUGGAUUGGAUGGUGCAAAGGGAGCUUGCAUUUGUAGUUG
Molecule: small RNA, 2945 nt
Filed under: Drosophila yakuba
Lineage: Eukaryota; Metazoa; Arthropoda; Insecta; Diptera; Drosophilidae
Description: GE27716
Source: RNAcentral